This is a small nuclear RNA of Ailuropoda melanoleuca (giant panda), 107 nucleotides long. The record is from Ensembl. NCBI's taxonomy places the organism in Eukaryota, Metazoa, Chordata, Mammalia, Carnivora, Ursidae.
GUGCUCGCUUCAGCAGUACGUAUACUAAAAUUGGAAUGAUAUAGAAGAGAUUAGCGUGGCCCCUGCACAAGGAUGACAUGCAAAUUCAUGAAGUGUUUCAUAUUUUU